UUGUUUUAUCACCUAGGCUGGAAUGCAGUGGAACCUGCUUAGCUCACUGUAGCCUUGAACUGCUGGGCUCAAGCAGUCCUCCUGUUUUGGCCUCUGAAGCAACUGGGACUACAGGUAUCGGCCUGGAGUGAUUCCAAGCUCUCCUGGAACAGGAGGUGCCCCCACUCUGGGCAUAAAUAUCUCUCCCUCAUCCCUCGCAGACAACGAUCUUUGAGUACCAUCCAGUCAUAACAUAGACAUGGCCAAGGUAACGGAGGUCAACGUGAAAGCUGCUGAAUCUCUUAUAACAACUUUCAGGACACUUGGUGCAUGCCGUUUUGAAACACCUCAAGCUGAGCCUGUUGUUCUGAAAUGUCAGAAUGUUCCAUUCUGGAAGAGACCCGAGGAAUGUGUGCAUACAGAGAAAAGGCCACGUGAGGACACAGGGAGAAGAAGCUGUCUGCAAGCCAAGGAGAGAGGCCUCAGGAGAAACCAAGGCUACCAACACCUUGGUCUUGGACUUCCAGCUUUCAGAACAGUGAGAAAAGAAACCUCUGUUGCUAAAGCCACCCAGACUGUGGUAUUUUGUUAUG
Gorilla gorilla gorilla (western lowland gorilla) is the source of this 572-nucleotide long non-coding RNA. RefSeq lists it as uncharacterized. The transcript is spliced from 4 exons. Lineage: Eukaryota; Metazoa; Chordata; Mammalia; Primates; Hominidae. The record is from RefSeq and is a predicted model, not a curated record.